GAAAUGCGAUACGUAAUGUGAAUUGCAGAAUUCAGUGAAUCAUCGAGUCUUUGAACGCACAUUGCGCCCCUUGGUAUUCCAUGGGGCAUGCCUGUUCGAGCGUCAUCUACACCCUCAAGCUCUGCUUGGUGUUGGGCGUCUGUCCCGCCUUUGCGCGUGGACUCGCCCCAAAUUCAUUGGCAGCGGUCCUUGCCUCCUCUCGCGCAGCACAUUUGCGCUUCUCGAGGUGCGCGGGCCGCGUCCACGAAGCAACUAUUACCGUCUUUGACCUCGGAUCAGGUAGGGAUACCCGCUGAACUUAA
This 302-nucleotide unclassified non-coding RNA is filed under the name uncultured Paraconiothyrium. RNAcentral describes it as "sequence contains ITS1". The stretch from base 1 to 105 matches the Rfam family "5.8S ribosomal RNA", at positions 50 to 154 of the family's 154-position model. Lineage: Eukaryota; Fungi; Ascomycota; Dothideomycetes; Pleosporales; Didymosphaeriaceae. The record is from RNAcentral.